This is a non-coding RNA of Pogona vitticeps (central bearded dragon), 380 nucleotides long. Lineage: Eukaryota; Metazoa; Chordata; Lepidosauria; Squamata; Agamidae. The record is from RefSeq and is a predicted model, not a curated record.
CUCCGUCUCCUGCCCUGAGGAGCGACAGCCGGCAGGCCGGGCUUCUUUGCAUAACAAAAGGCGGCCAUCAAGCCGGCGCCUGGGAAUGCCCUCGUCGCCAGCCCUCCCCAGCUCGAAAGCAGCCUAUUUGCCUUCCUUUUGCCUUCCUCUUCUGUGUCCAUCAACGCCAUGCAUUCAUUUGCAAAUAGGAGCGGGGGGAGAAAAGAAAUUCGAGUCUGGUUACUCGGAAGUCCUUGAUGAAAAGAAGCAUUAAAUCAUAUUGGGAUGCUUUGAAACUGACUGUUAAGCAAGUCGAGGAAACCGUCGCUUCAAACAGGCAAACUCAUGAAUGGCUUCAGCAACUGAGUAUUUUGUCUGUCCAGAUACACAAGCCUCAAUUU